UACGAAGGGUGCAAGCGUUACUCGGAAUUACUGGGCGUAAAGCGUGCGCAGGCGGUUCGUUGUGUCGGCGGUGAAAGCCCCGGGCUCAACCUGGGAAUUGCGAUGAAGACUGCAAGGCUUGAAUCUGGCAGAGGGGGGUAGAAUUCCACGUGUAGCAGUGAAAUGCGUAGAGAUGUGGAGGAACACCGAUGGCGAAGGCAGCCCCCUGGGUCAAGAUUGACGCUCAUGCACGAAAGCGUGGGGAGCAAACAGG
RNAcentral lists this ribosomal RNA (253 nucleotides) under uncultured bacterium. RNAcentral's name for it is "partial 16S ribosomal RNA". It matches the Rfam family "Bacterial small subunit ribosomal RNA", at positions 524 to 776 of the family's 1533-position model. The record is from RNAcentral.